AGAAUGAACGCUGGCGGCAUGCCUAACACAUGCAAGUCGAACGAAUUACCUUCGGGUAGUUAGUGGCGCACGGGUGCGUAACGCGUGGGAAUCUGCCCUUGGGUUCGGAAUAACAGUGAGAAAUUACUGCUAAUACCGGAUAAUGUCGCAAGACCAAAGAUUUAUUGCCCAAGGAUGAGCCCGCGUAAGAUUAGCUAGUUGGUGGGGUAAAGGCCUACCAAGGCGACGAUCUUUAGCUGGUCUGAGAGGAUGAUCAGCCACACUGGGACUGAGACACGGCCCAGACUCCUACGGGAGGCAGCAGUGGGGAAUAUUGGACAAUGGGCGAAAGCCUGAUCCAGCAAUGCCGCGUGAGUGAUGAAGGCCUUAGGGUUGUAAAGCUCUUUUACCCGGGAAGAUAAUGACUGUACCGGGAGAAUAAGCCCCGGCUAACUCCGCGCCAGCAGCCGC
RNAcentral lists this ribosomal RNA (450 nucleotides) under uncultured bacterium. RNAcentral describes it as "SSU rRNA". It matches the Rfam family "Bacterial small subunit ribosomal RNA", at positions 26 to 518 of the family's 1533-position model. The record is from RNAcentral.